Molecule: ribosomal RNA, 497 nt
Filed under: uncultured bacterium
Lineage: Bacteria
Description: partial 16S ribosomal RNA
Rfam family: Bacterial small subunit ribosomal RNA
Source: RNAcentral
GACGAACGCUGGCGGCGUGCCUAAUACAUGCAAGUUGAGCGAUGAAGAUUGGUGCUUGCACCAAUUUGAAGAGCAGCGAACGGGUGAGUAACGCGCGGGGAAUCUGCCUUUGAGCGGGGGACAACAUUUGGAAACGAAUGCUAAUACCGCAUAACAACUUUAAACAUAAGUUUUAAGUUUGAAAGAUGCAAUUGCAUCACUCAAAGAUGAUCCCGCGUUGUAUUAGCUAGUUGGUGAGGUAAAGGCUCACCAAGGCGAUGAUACAUAGCCGACCUGAGAGGGUGAUCGGCCACAUUGGGACUGAGACACGGCCCAAACUCCUACGGGAGGCAGCAGUAGGGAAUCUUCGGCAAUGGACGAAAGUCUGACCGAGCAACGCCGCGUGAGUGAAGAAGGUUUUCGGAUCGUAAAACUCUGUUGGUAGAGAAGAACGUUGGUGAGAGUGGAAAGCUCAUCAAGUGACGGUAACUACCCAGAAAGGGACGGCUAACUACGUG